This 117-nucleotide small nuclear RNA is filed under the name Jaculus jaculus (lesser Egyptian jerboa). Its description in RNAcentral is "U4 spliceosomal RNA (ENSJJAG00000004133.1)". It matches the Rfam family "U4 spliceosomal RNA", at positions 1 to 114 of the family's 138-position model. From Rfam's summary of the family: U4 small nuclear RNA (U4 snRNA) is a component of the major U2-dependent spliceosome. Lineage: Eukaryota; Metazoa; Chordata; Mammalia; Rodentia; Dipodidae. The record is from RNAcentral.
AGCUUUGCACAGUGGAAGUAUCAUCGCCAAUGAGGUUUAUCCAAAGUGCCAUUAUUACUAAUUGAAAACUUUUCCCAAUACCCCACCAUGAGGAUUUGAGAUAUAGUCAGCAUUGAG